GCCAGGCAUGGUGGUGUACACCUGUAGUCCCAGCUACUCAGGAGGCUGAGACAGGAAGAUUGCUUGAGCCCAGGAGGUCAAGGCUGCAGUGAGCCAUGAUCACACUACUGCACUCCUGCCUGGGCAACAGAGUGAGACCCUGUCUCAA
RNAcentral lists this non-coding RNA (148 nucleotides) under Pan paniscus (pygmy chimpanzee). The record is from Rfam by way of RNAcentral. Lineage: Eukaryota; Metazoa; Chordata; Mammalia; Primates; Hominidae. RNAcentral also lists the same sequence under 1 other name.